GUGUCAGCCGCCGCGGUAAUACGGAGGGUGCAAGCGUUACUCGGAAUCACUGGGCGUAAAGAGCGUGUAGGCGGAUUGAUAAGUUUGAAGUGAAAUCCUAUAGCUUAACUAUAGAACUGCUUUGAAAACUGUUAAUCUAGAAUGUGGGAGAGGUAGAUGGAAUUUCUGGUGUAGGGGUAAAAUCCGUAGAGAUCAGAAGGAAUACCGAUUGCGAAGGCGAUCUACUGGAACAAUAUUGACGCUGAGACGCGAAAGCGUGGGGAGCAAACAGGAUUAGAUACCCUGGUAGUCCACGCCCUAAACGAUGUACACUAGUUGUUGUGAGGCUCGACCUUGCAGUAAUGCAGUUAACACAUUAAGUGUACCGCCUGGGGAGUACGGUCGCAAGAUUAAAACUCAAAGGAAUAGACGGGGACCCGCACAAGCGGUGGAGCAUGUGGUUUAAUUCGACGAUACACGAAGAACCUUACCUGGACUUGACAUAGUAAGAAUGAUUUAGAGAUAGAUUAGUGUCUGCUUGCAGAAACUUGCAUACAGGUGCUGCACGGCUGUCGUCAGCUCGUGUCGUGAGAUGUUGGGUUAAGUCCCGCAACGAGCGCAACCCUCGUCCUUAGUUGCUAACAGUUCGGCUGAGAACUCUAAGGAGACUGCCUACGCAAGUAGGAGGAAGGUGAGGAUGACGUCAAGUCAUCAUGGCCCUUACGUCCAGGGCUACACACGUGCUACAAUGGGGUAUACAAAGAGCAGCAAUACGGUGACGUGGAGCAAAUCUCAAAAAUGCCUCCCAGUUCGGAUUGUAGUCUGCAACUCGACUACAUGAAGUUGGAAUCGCUAGUAAUCGUAGAUCAGCUAUGCUACGGUGAAUACGUUCCCGGGUCUUGUACUCACCGCCCGUCACACCAUGGGAGUUGAACUCAUUCGAAGCGGGGAUGCUAAAGUAGCUACCUUCCACAGUGGAUUCAGCGACUGGGGUGAAGUCGUAACAAGGUAACC
Molecule: ribosomal RNA, 993 nt
Filed under: uncultured Arcobacter sp.
Lineage: Bacteria; Pseudomonadati; Campylobacterota; Epsilonproteobacteria; Campylobacterales; Arcobacteraceae
Description: bacterial SSU rRNA
Rfam family: Bacterial small subunit ribosomal RNA
Source: RNAcentral